RNAcentral lists this long non-coding RNA (7052 nucleotides) under Marmota monax (woodchuck). The stretch from base 508 to 579 matches the Rfam family "tRNA". Lineage: Eukaryota; Metazoa; Chordata; Mammalia; Rodentia; Sciuridae. The record is from RNAcentral.
GUGGGCUCCUGUGUCUUCUCUAGAACAGGACGCGGCCCAAGGUGAGGGCCCACAGUCUGAGUCACUGUAUCCUCUUAGGUGUCCACUCCCUGGUUUUUCCACCCACGACCUUCACAGUGUCAAAUGGGACUUGGGGGGCCCAGUACGCAGCUUGGGAGAGAUCUGUUCAUGCUGGCCCCAGGGAAAUGGUCACAACCUGCUGGGUCAUAUCACUUCUCUGGUGGCUCCAUGGCCAGCACCUUUUUCCAAUCAGGUCCAACGCUUUGAGGAUGGAGGUCAUGCUCAAGGAGGUCACCCACAAGGACAGACUCUGGGGCUGUGCUGCUGGCUUCCCACAACCAUGUGACCUCAAGUAAAGUAAGUCACCUAACCUGUCUAGAUCUCAGUUCUGUGAUCUAUAAAAUGAGGGUAUGGUCGUCCCUUUCUCAGAGCAAGUAUCAAGAAUAUUAACAAAUCACUGUUUUGUGCCCCGCAGGUAAUAAGCACUCAACACAUGUGAGUGUGGGCUGAGGUGUGGCUCAGUGGUGGGGCACUCGCCUAGUAUGAUUAAGGGCCUGAGUUCAAUUCCCAGCACCACAAGAAAUAGUAAUAACUACAUUUGUAAUGAAUUAUUUGUCACCAGGUUCUGUCUCUAUGACGGGUGUUAGUAGGGUGGUCUACUCUGCCUGGCUUCCUCAGCCCCACCAGCUUGACUGGACCAGUUUUGAGGGAAUGGGUGAUGGUUCUGUGACCCCCACGUCAGUCCUGAACUCCUGCCUGCUGGAUCAUAGGACCCACGUGCGUCCACUCUGCCCUCCUGCACCCACUGUCACUCCUGUGCCCAGGCCUGCGACCUCUUCCUCUCUUCAGAAGUCGUCAGAGAGAAGCGGGCGUUGUCCAACAUCAGGCAAGGACAGCUGGUGCCUCCUGUGCUCCCUGAGGGCCUGGUGCCAGGGGGUGGGGAUCCUGCUGGCCCAGCCGCUCCCCAAGGAAUGGUCCCCCAGCCCCACCCACCCUGGCUUCUUGUGCCUCCCUGGAGACUGCAGACCAGGUUACCCUGCCCAGUGACAGUCCAUUGUCCCCAGUGUGGACCCACACCUCACUUAGAGGUUGGAUGUGAGGCAGGGGAUCAGAGUAGCCCUGGCAGCAGGAGGGGCUGGGGGCUGGUGCUUGCCCACCUUCUGGGCCCCUCAGGCUUCUCUCCUCCACUUCCGCACUCUACCGUUCACUGCCUCCCCCAGUCCCAGAUGUGGAAAGGCGCUCUCUAGGUCUCACCUUUGCUGGAGGACAUGAGAAGGGACAUCAGGGGACCUGGCAAAUCUGUUUUCUCACCAUUUCUUUGUUUUCAGAAAACACCACUUUAUCUUUUUCUUUGUUUCUUUUUUCUUUCUUUCUUUCUUUCUUUUUCUGCUCUUUUGUGCUGGGACUAGGCAAGCACUGUACCACUGAACCACACCUCAAUCCUUUUUUGUUUUUAUUUUGAGAGUCUCACUAAGGCUCCCAGACUGGCCCUGAACGGCUAUCCUCCUGCCCCCCAUCCCGAGCAGCUGGCGUUACAGGGGUGCACUAUGGCGCCCAGCUGAGAUGCCACUUCCUAAUGAGGAGAACGAGUACUGGAGAGGGUGCUGGCCCACAGUGACUGUCACUCUGGGCUGACAACAGUGAAAACUGGAUCAACCUUUUUGGAAGGAAGUUGGACUCUGUAGCUCAAAGCCCUUGAAAUCACGUGGCCAUCGUCCUCUCAGCCCUUCCCCUUGACCUCCCCCUGGAGUCAGGCCUCCCUGCUGGCUCCACCUUCUGGACCAGCUCCAGAUCCCAGCUCUGCGGUCUCCUACUCCUGGCUCCACAGUCCCUCUGCGGGGGUUCUCCCUCCGUUUAGCAUUUAACCCUUAGUUCUUUUACAGAAUUUCGGCUCACACACACCUCUCCCACUUCCUAGUCCAGACAGACUUUGGUAGGACACUCUCUUGCCUUUAUGUCUAAGCACAUGGCUCCUGGGACGUGCCUGUCACUGUGACCAAGAUUAAUUAUCCAUUGAGAAGGGGAAGCAGUCUGAGGGGCUGAGUUCUCCGGCUGACUAAAGAGCAAAGCAUCGGAGAGUUUCCAGGGAAAGGCUCGGUGACUUCUGCAGCUAGUGCUCAGCCUGUGAGGCCAGGGACAGAUGACAGUCCAAACGUCCCCUCCAGACGGGCUGUGCUCAAGGCCCCCUUGGUGUCUCUUCUCUCCUUCUUGGCCACAGGCCACCUAAAUGCAAGUGCUGGGGGAUGAGGAGGGCAGAAAGUGACUCUCUGUCCCCCUCUAAGGGUGCAGGCUGAGUGGAGCAACCUGCCACGCUCCCAUGAAUGUGGCCCCUGGCCAGGACACCAGGUUUCAAGUCCAGAGACCUGGGCUCUUCCCCUCCUGGCUGUGCAAACUUGGGCGAGUCCUUCAGUCUUUGGAGGCUUCCGUUUCCCAUCUGUAACAGACACAAGAAGCCCUGCUCACCCACCCACCCUUCCAGAUCGCAACGUUCCAACAAGGUCAUUGAGGUGGGCGACCUUCAUACUCUGUUCAGCCCAACAAGGUCUCCAGAUUUCCUACCAGAGUCUUCUGGCCUCCAACCUCCUCUCCCAGCCCUGGCUAUGGGGACAAGAGCAGGCUGCUACCCCAGCCUCAGUUCAGUGUGGGACUGCCCGCCACCUGGAGAAGACGGGACCUGCUGACCUGCAGUGCACCUUCCCCACACAGAAGGCGUGACUUCUGUGGCCAUCAGGGGCAACCUGGAUCUGUGAGACCAAGUCCAUAAAAGUCGGAUGCAUCAGCAAGGAGCAUGUGGAGGGGCACAAAGCACAGAAUUAGCGUGCCAGCAGGGGUCCCGGAAGCUCCUGGAAGCAGGAAGGAGGCUCCAAGAGCAGCAGAGCUCCUGGCACUUGCUGAACUACUGAAAGGUGCACAGUGUGAAGCCUGAGGGUGUGGAGAAGAAGGGCAGAGGCGGAGGGACAGGGAAGCCUGUGCCCGGCGCUGACCCCCACAUGGGGAAGGAAGAAGACUUGCAAACCUGUGGCACGUCUGCCCCCAGCUUGGCCGCUCUGCCAUGCCCACUUCCGGCCAUGACAACUUGGGCCCUCUGUGGUGACUCUAACAAUCCCCCGAGGGAUUCUGGACAACCCCUCUGUCGAAGGCAUCUCUGUCCACCCCUCUGGCCUGCUCAGAGCUGUGCUCCCCUCCCAGGCCCCACCCCAGCACAGCCCUGGUCCCUGAGGUCCUGGGAGGGGAGCUGCAGAGAGGCUGUCAGGUCCGGUAGUAUUGUCCAGGCCUUGGAGGCCACUUAUCUAGGCCGCCCACACAGGGAAAUGAGAUAGUCCAGCACCACUUUUCCCACUAAUAUUCUUAUCUUGACUGGAAAGAAGACCGUGUGUAAAGACGUGUGGGUGUGGUCUCCGAGUGUUUUUCCUUCCAUGACUUCUGACCAUAUGGACAUAUGUUUGUGUCAUUUUACGACUUGAACAUGACGAACGAGUGUAUGAAGUGUGUCCAUGUGGGAUUUGUAAGAGAAGUAGAUGGCGAGAGGGGAGACAUGAGGUGGGGACACUCGGGGAGGAGGGAGGAGCAAUCAGAGGGGAAACAUUAAGAAACUGGAAACAAUCAGUUUGGGUGAAAGAACAAAGAAAUGGGUCUUUUCAUCCACUGAUCAGGAAAGCAUUUGUUGACUUUGUCCUUUUGGAAACCCAUUGCUCAGUAUCACAAUCUCAGAAUGUUAAAUGUGUCUUCUUUUCACUUGGUAAUUCUGAUUCCUAUGUUUUCCCAAGAGCAAUUCUUCGUGGGUACAACAAGACAUGUGUAAUCACAGCAGAUGUGUAAAUCACAGCAGAAUUACUCAUAGAAACAAAAAAUGCAAACAGCCUGUUAUGGUUUCCAUAUGAGGUGUCCCCAAAAAGCUCAGGUGUGAGAACAUGAAAGAAAGUUUAGAGGUGAAAUGCUUAGGUUCUGAGACCUUAACCCAUCCACGGACUGCUCUACUAGUGGGGAUUAACUACAGGCAGGUAGGGUGUGGCUGGAGGAGGCGGGUCCUUGGGGCGCACCUUUGGGGUGCAUAUUUUGCCCGGGGAGGAGAAUGUGGGCUCUCGCGUGCUCUCUCUCUCUCUCUCUCUCUCUUCUCCUCUCCUUCCUGGUUUCCUGUCUGGAGGAUCCACCCUCCUCUGCCUCACACCUCAGCCAUAAAGUUCUGCCUUAUCUCAGACCCCGAAGAAUAGAAUCGACCAUCCAUGGACAGAGACCUCUGAAACCAUGAGGAACAAAUAAAUGUUUCCUCCUCUAAAAUUUUCAUUGCAGCAACAAAACAGUUGACUAAAAUUCAACCUAAGAGUCAAUUGACAACGGAGUGGUUCGAGGUUUUAAAGAAUAGUAAAUUAGUGCUCUGGAACACCAUAAGUCAGUGAGAAAGAACGAGAAAAUCUCCAUGGCAAAAUGGAAAGAUUCCCCCAAAUAUUAUGGUUUUUUUUUUUAAAUGCACAAUUUAUAUGAAUUAUGCCAUGUAGUAAGAAGGGAGGGAAAUAGAGAAAGGCCUGGAAGAUGCCCCCAGCAAUAUGUCAGUGGUGGUCACCUCUCAAGAGAGGGCUGGAAUUAAAGGUGGGGAAGAAAUCUUUGGCUUCACACACAGAUCUGGAUUGCUCUACAAUGAAAGUGAGUUUCCAUAUGACUUGUGAAACUAGACACUUUUUGAAAGUCAGUCCCACGAAAACCCACUCACUACAGACCCUGUGAUCUAGACGCAAGACAGGAACGAAAGCAAAGACCCUGCUCUCUGUGGCAAGCCUGGGAUGGAGCCUGAUUCUCGCCCACAUGGUGGGGUGCAGCUGGGCCCUAGAGAAGAUGGGCGUCCCUCGCCCUGUCUAUCUGGGGAAAACGGCAGGGGGGGUAUUUUUACUUCUGUGUGGCUCUAGAAAGUCGCCACCACUACAGAAUCUGAGAGCUUUCCCCAGAGCUAAAUCCAGAAAAAGACUUAAUUUGGGCCGAUCUAUAGUUUUCCUUUAUUUUAUCAAUUGAGAAACAGAGACCUGGAGAAGUAGAGUAUCACACACAAAACAGCAAUGAGUGCAGUCUACCACUGUUUCUUCUCUCUCUGAAUAGGAGGAGAAGAGGGGCGCCCAGGGGCUGACAGCAACAGGAUGCUCACUCCUCCACCCAGGAAGAAUCCCUCCGGAGCUGGAUCCAAACCGACUGUACCAGGGCAGAGGGGUCCAGGGAGCCCAAGGCAGAAUCUGAAGACAAAAGCUCUCAGGGUCCUCUGACCCUCCCUGCAAACCUCCUAGCCUGAGGCAGCACCUCUACACAGCAGCGGGGUGGCAAGGCCAAGCAGAGCUAGUGAAGAAGGUGCAAGCAGAACCCAGGAGGACGGAUCCCUUCAGAAAGAGAUCAAACUUGGCUCUGUGGCUACAAAAGGCAGAACCAGCACAGAGGACCAGCAUGCAACAGCUCUUUCAGGUUCUGAAAAUACAUAACUCUCCCUUUGCCUGGAGGGGGCCUUUCUUUUGCCCUUACAAUACAAUUGUACCCACUUCACCUGGGUAUGAAAUUCCAGGCGCCUGGUAUUUUCCGUGAGCACCCUAUUCCAUUGUCUUCAAACUCUUCACAGCUCUCAAUAGGCCAUUGUCAGGGGCCAUGCCUUGACUUAAUUCAUUUUUUUCCUCUGGUUCCUGAAACAACUGUUCUCCUUGUCUUUGGUGUUCUACAAUGUGUCUGGAAACAGGGUUUUUAACCCUACUUAAAGCUUGUGUUUCUUGAGUCUGAGGAUACUGGUCUUUUGCUAAUUCUGGAAAAUCCUCAGGCAUUGUCUUUUCAAUCAUUGCCUGUCCUCACUCUUUGCACUUCCUCUUUUUUUCUGACAGUUGCUCUGAAAGCAGACUGAGAGAAAGACAGGAGUUAAGCUGGGAGGUGAUUCCAGUGAGCAGGCAGAAGUGGUGGAGAGGGAGGAGGAAGGCAGAAGCCAGCAACAUCCCAUUACUGAGCUGCCUCCACCGUGACUGACUGCAGACACGUCUUAGAGGAAGUUGGUAGAGGAUGCCACAGAUGGUCUCACCCAGGGACAACUGAGCUGAUGCACUUAUCUGCUGACUCUCACCUCUCAUCAAGUGAAGGCUGCUGCCAGAGGCACCCUUUGAAUUUAUGAAUUGUCUGCAGAAGCUGGGGGGCUCCUGCAGAGCCCAAAGCCAGAAGAACUGAGAGACCUGGGGACAUGUGGCUGAGGAGGGACAUUGGCCUCAUGCAUGACCACGGCUGCACUGGAUCAAGUGAGUCCCAGGAAUUAGCAGGGGUCAUCCCUGCCUUGUCCGUCAGGUUGGCGGAAGCUUGGCACUCUACUUCAGCCUCCUUGUGUGUCCCGACUCCCCUGUGCCCUUAGCCUCAGGGCGGCAUCUUGGGUCUGGGUGCUCAUUUGCUAAUUUUCCCAUUAGCUAUAUCGCAACAGCUCCUCUCAGAGUGUCUAGUUCUUUCACCUGUCACACAUUAUUCUCCUUGAGACUGUGCCAUUGCCCUCUCGCUCGGUGGCAGUCCUGCUAUCCAUCAUGUCUGCUGACAGUCAGGUAGGCUAUUUCCCCAGGUGUUUUGCCACUGAUGACAUGAACGUAUUUGCAAUGAGCGUGUAUCCCACCACUGCCCGUGUUGCCCUAGUGUAGGAAUCCCAUGCACUUUGGGAAGAGGAUUAUUCCUCCAUGCACUUGGAUAUUAGACUUUGCCAGACACGGCAGGAGUAUCACAAGCUUGGGACCAAUUUUUUUCUAUUGUGUUAAAAUAUACAUAGUAUAAAAUCAACUCUUCAGUGACAGUCCAGAGUGAAAGCCCAACAAACGGCCCUUAGAGUUGAUGUUUAGCAUAUUCACACUGUGGUAGGACCAUCACCACCAUCCAUCUGCAGAACUUUGCCAACAUCACCCCAACUGAACCUGCACCCACGGAACAGAACUCCGGCUCCAUCCUGCCCCAGCCCCUGACCACUGAUAACCGCUGUUCUACCCUCUGUCCUUAUGAAUUUGACAGAUGGGUUUUCACAAAAGUGUUUGUCUUUUUGCGACUGGCUUUUUCCACAUAGGAGCAAU